CAAUGGAGCGAUGGAAGAAGAUUGCAAGGUCUGACAAAUCAUAAUUUCUUAUAGAUCAGGUGGAUGUGCAUCAUUUACCUGGGGAACACAUGGCAGCAGGACACACUAUGGGAAGAAGGCAAGCCAUAAGAGGCAGUGUUAUGCUCUUGGCAAUGUUUUGCCAGGUAACCGUGGGUCCUGGCAAGCAUGUGCAUGUUACUUUGAUACAUACCAUCUAUG
Molecule: non-coding RNA, 219 nt
Organism: Pelobates cultripes (western spadefoot toad)
Lineage: Eukaryota; Metazoa; Chordata; Amphibia; Anura; Pelobatidae
Source: the annotation of a GenBank genome assembly